RNAcentral lists this ribosomal RNA (301 nucleotides) under uncultured bacterium. RNAcentral's name for it is "partial 16S ribosomal RNA". It matches the Rfam family "Bacterial small subunit ribosomal RNA", at positions 509 to 807 of the family's 1533-position model. The record is from RNAcentral.
CAGUAGCCGCGGUAAUACGUAGGGUGCGAGCGUUAAUCGGAAUUACUGGGCGUAAAGCGUGCGCAGGCGGUUGUGUAAGACAGGUGUGAAAUCCCCGGGCUCAACCUGGGAACUGCAUUUGUGACUGUAGAGCUGGAGUGCGGCAGAGGGGGAUGGAAUUCCGCGUGUAGCAGUGAAAUGCGUAGAUAUGCGGAGGAACACCGAUGGCGAAGGCAAUCCCCUGGGCCUGCACUGACGCUCAUGCACGAAAGCGUGGGGAGCAAACAGGAUUAGAUACCCGUGUAGUCCCUGUCUCUUAUAC